Molecule: ribosomal RNA, 446 nt
Filed under: uncultured bacterium
Lineage: Bacteria
Description: bacterial SSU rRNA
Rfam family: Bacterial small subunit ribosomal RNA
Source: RNAcentral
UUGCCAGACUCCUACGGGAGGCAGCAGUGGGGAAUAUUGCACAAUGGGGGAAACCCUGAUGCAGCGACGCCGCGUGAGUGAAGAAGUGAUUCGUCACGUAAAGCUCUAUCAGCAGGAAAGAAAAUGACGGUACCUGACUAAGAAGCCCCGGCUAACUACGUGCCAGCAGCCGCGGUAAUACGUAGGGGGCAAGCGUUAUCCGGAUUUACUGGGUGUAAAGGGAGCGUAGACGGCAGGGCAAGUCUGAAGUGAAAGCCCGGGGCCCAACCCCGGGACUGCUUUGGAAACUGUCCGGCUGGAGUGCAGGAGGGGUGGGCGGAAUUCCUAGUGUAGCGGUGAAAUGCGUAGAUAUUAGGAGGAACACCAGUGCGAAGGCGGCUUACUGGACAGUAACUGACGUUGAGGCUCGAAAGCGUGGGGAGCAAACAGGAUUAGAUACCCGAGUA